CCAGUGGCGGGUGCUAAUACAUGCAGUCGAGCGGACAGAAGGGAGCUUGCUCCCGGAUGUUAGCGGCGGACGGGUGAGUAACACGUGGGUAACCUGCCUGUAAGACUGGGAUAACUCCGGGAAACCGGAGCUAAUACCGGAUAGUUCCUUGAACCGCAUGGUUCAAGGAUGAAAGACGGUUUCGGCUGUCACUUACAGAUGGACCCGCGGCGCAUUAGCUAGUUGGUGAGGUAACGGCUCACCAAGGCGACGAUGCGUAGCCGACCUGAGAGGGUGAUCGGCCACACUGGGACUGAGACACGGCCCAGACUCCUACGGGAGGCAGCAGUAGGGAAUCUUCCGCAAUGGACGAAAGUCUGACGGAGCAACGCCGCGUGAGUGAUGAAGGUUUUCGGAUCGUAAAGCUCUGUUGUUAGGGAAGAACAAGUGCAAGAGUAACUGCUUGCACCUUGACGGUACCUAACCAGAAAGCCACGGCUAACUACGUGCCAGCAGCCGCGGUAAUACGUAGGUGGCAAGCGUUGUCCGGAAUUAUUGGGCGUAAAGGGCUCGCAGGCGGUUUCUUAAGUCUGAUGUGAAAGCCCCCGGCUCAACCGGGGAGGGUCAUUGGAAACUGGGAAACUUGAGUGCAGAAGAGGAGAGUGGAAUUCCACGUGUAGCGGUGAAAUGCGUAGAGAUGUGGAGGAACACCAGUGGCGAAGGCGACUCUCUGGUCUGUAACUGACGCUGAGGAGCGAAAGCGUGGGGAGCGAACAGGAUUAGAUACCCUGGUAGUCCACGCCGUAAACGAUGAGUGCUAAGUGUUACGGGGUUUCCGCCCCUUAGUGCUGCAGCUAACGCAUUAAGCACUCCGCCUGGGGAGUACGGUCGCAAGACUGAAACUCAAGGAAUUGACGGGGGGCCCGCACAGCGGUGGAGCAUGUGGUUUAAUUCGAAGCAACGCGAGAACCUUACCAGGUCUUGACAUCCUCUGACAACCCUAGAGAUAGGGCUUUCCCUUCCGGGGACAGAAUGACAGUGGUGCAUGGAUGUCGUUCAGCUCGUGUCGUGAAAUGGUUGGGUAGUCCCGCAACGAACGCCAACCAUGAUCUUAAGUUGCCAGCCAUUCAGUUG
RNAcentral lists this ribosomal RNA (1113 nucleotides) under Bacillus pumilus. Its description in RNAcentral is "bacterial SSU rRNA". It matches the Rfam family "Bacterial small subunit ribosomal RNA", at positions 36 to 1132 of the family's 1533-position model. The record is from RNAcentral. Lineage: Bacteria; Bacillati; Bacillota; Bacilli; Caryophanales; Bacillaceae.